RNAcentral lists this ribosomal RNA (828 nucleotides) under Triticum aestivum (bread wheat). RNAcentral's name for it is "partial small subunit ribosomal RNA". The record is from RNAcentral. Lineage: Eukaryota; Viridiplantae; Streptophyta; Magnoliopsida; Poales; Poaceae.
AUGGAUGAUGUGGACGAUGUCCUAAAGACUGUUAACUUCUUUAGGGAGAUGAAAGCUAUAAAUAGGGAAUUCUUCUGUGACAUGCAACUCGAUGAGUCCGACAGAGUUAAGAACAUAUUCUGGGCGAAUGCAAGCUGCCGAGGGGCCUAUCAGGACUUCAGUGACUGUGUAACAUUUGACACCACAUAUAAGACCAACAAGUACCAUAUGCCACUUGGGGUGUUUGUCGGUACUAACAACCACUUCCAGACUACAUUCUUUGGUUUCGCCCUGAUAAGAGAUGAGGAUGCAGAAUCAUUCAGAUGGUUGUUCAAGACGUUUUUAAGGUGCAUGAGAGGGAAGGCUCCUACAUGCAUCCUCACAGACUAGUGCCCGGCAAUGGCUUUGGCGAUACCAAAAGUUUUCAAGAACACAAUACACAAGUUGUGCCGCUGGCACAUUAUGAAGAAGUACAGGGAACACCUCGCAUACCUUUACUACCUGCACGAAGACUUGAAAGAAGAAUUCACAUCAAUCCUCAACUGGCCCCUCAUGCCAACUGAGUUUGAGGAUGCCUGGAAAGGACUCAUCGAUAGGUACAACCUCCAUGAUGAUGCCAUGAUGCUGGCCAUGUGGAACGAGCGUGAGAAAUGGAUAUCAGCCUACUUCAAAGAAAUUUUCUGCGCCAAAAUGACAUCCACACAGCGAAGUGAGAGCAUGAACUAUGUGCUCAAGAAGAACUUUGUAAGUGAGAGACAAAACCUACACCGGUUUGUCAGCCAGGUAAACUCCUGCGCCAAAACCAGGAGGCAGACAGAGAACCAAGAGACAAUGGGUAACAGGGUAUAG